Molecule: transfer RNA, 65 nt
Filed under: Cordylochernes scorpioides
Lineage: Eukaryota; Metazoa; Arthropoda; Arachnida; Pseudoscorpiones; Chernetidae
Description: tRNA-Gly
Source: RNAcentral
UGCAUUGCCGGGAAUCGAACUCGGGCCGCCCGCGUGGCAGGUGAGCAUUCUACCACUGUACCACC